This 242-nucleotide ribosomal RNA is filed under the name Escherichia coli. Its description in RNAcentral is "partial 23S ribosomal RNA". It matches the Rfam family "Bacterial large subunit ribosomal RNA", at positions 103 to 331 of the family's 2925-position model. Lineage: Bacteria; Pseudomonadati; Pseudomonadota; Gammaproteobacteria; Enterobacterales; Enterobacteriaceae. The record is from RNAcentral.
GGUGUGGUCGACCGAAACGCGACCCCCAGUGUGUUUCGACACACUAUCAUUAACUGACUCCAUAGGUUAAUGAGGCGAACCGGGGGAACUGAAACAUCUUAGUACCCCGAGGAAAAGAAAUCAACCGAGAUUCCCCCAGUAGCGGCGAGCGAACGGGGAGGAGCCCAGAGCCUGAACUUUAUGGACAGCGACGGCAAAGUGGGCGCGGAAGUGGCUCCGCGUCGUUAUUUCUGUCUGCAAUG